GGAUAAGGAAAGUAAAAAAGGGCGCAUGGCGGAUGCCUUGGCUCUCGGAGGCGAUGAAGGACGUGAUAAGCUGCGAUAAGCUUUGGGGAGGUGCAAAUGACCUUUGAUCCAGAGAUUUCCGAAUGGGACAACCCAAUAUCUUGAAGAGGUAUUAUCUUACUAUGUAAGAGGCUAACGCAGGGAACUGAAACAUCUUAGUACCUGCAGGAAAAGAAAAUAAACAAUGAUUCCCCCAGUAGUGGCGAGCGAACGGGGAACAGCCCAAACCAUCCAUGUUACGGCAUGGGUGGGGUUGUAGGACUACGCCGUUGCAUGAAGACAUCAGAGAAGAACUUUCUGGAAAGAAAGACCAUAGAGCAUGACAGUUGCGUAUUCGAAUGUUGUCGAAGCAUAGUAGUAUCCUGAGUAGCGCGGAGCACGAGGAAUUCUGCGUGAAUCUGCCGGGACCAUCCGGUAAGGCUAAAUACUCCCGAGAGACCGAUAGCGAACCAGUACCGUGAGGGAAAGGUGAAAAGCACUUCGAACAGAAGAGUGAAAUAGUUCCUGAAACCGUGCGCCUACAAGCGGUCGGAGCUCGUUAAUGAGUGACGGCGUGCCUUUUGCAUAAUGAACCUACGAGUUGCCUUUGCCGGCAAGGUUAAGUGUGACGACACACGUAUCCGAAGCGAAAGCGAGUCUGAACAGGGCGUAUAGUCGGCAGUGGCAGACGCGAAACCAAGUGAUCUACCCUUGGCCAGGUUGAAGGCUGGGUAACACCAGCUGGAGGACCGCACCAAUAAGCGUUGAAAAGCUUCUGGAUGAGCUGAGGGUAGGGGUGAAAGGCUAAUCAAACUUGGAGAUAGCUCGUACUCCCCGAAAUGCAUUUAGGUGCAGCCUUGCGGGUUACUGAUGUGAGGUAGAGCGACUGAUAAGAUGCGAGGGCUUCACCGCCUAUCAAGUCUUGACAAACUCCGAAUGCGCAUCAGUUCUACCGCAGGAGUGAGGGCAUGGGUGCUAAGGUCCGUGCCCGAGAGGAGAAGAAUCCGGACCACCUGCUAAGGUCCCGAAAUGACAGCUAAGUUAAACUAACGAAGUCUGACUGCUAAGACAGCUAGGAUGUUGGCUUGGAAGCAGCCAUUCAUUUAAAGAGUGCGUAACAGCUCACUAGUCGAGGAGUCGGGCGUGGAUAAUAAUCGGGUAUCAAGUUGUCUACCGAAGCAGUGGGAUCAUUUAUAUGAUCGGUAGGGGAGCAUUCCAGUCAGCGUCGAAGGCGUACCGUGAGGUAUUCUGGAGCGUCUGGAAAAGCAAAUGUAGGUAUAAGUAACGAUAAAGGGGGCGGGAAACCCCCUCGCCGAAAGACUAAGGUUUCCUGAUCAACGCUAAUCGGAUCAGGGUCAGUCGGGUCCUAAGGCUCAGCCGAACGGCGAUGCCGAUGGCAGAAACGGUUAAUAUUCCGUUACUACCUUCAGGAGUGACGUGGAGACGCAGUAGUGACAGUGCCGCCAUCUGACGGAAUAGAUGGUUGAAGGGUGUAGGAGUCGAUCAUGGCAGGCAAAUCCACCAUGAGAUCCGAACCUGACAGUAUGCCGCGUCCUUCGGGACAAGGCAAUAGUGCGCGUAAGCAUGCUGCCGAGAAAAUCCGCUAAACUUAAUCCUGCAGGUACCCGUACCGCAAACGGACACACGUAGUCGGGAUGAAUAUUCUAAGGCGCUUGAGUGAUUCACGGUUAAGGAACUAGGCAAACUGACCCUGUAACUUCGGGAUAAAGGGUCCCUACCCUUUUAUGGGAGGGCGCAGAGAAUCGGUCCAGGCAACUGUUUAACAAAAACACAGGGCUGUGCCAAAUCGAAAGAUCCAGUAUACAGCCUGACACCUGCCCGGUGCUGGAAGGUUAAGAGGAGAUGUCAUCGAUAAGAGAAGCGUUGAAUUGAAGCCCCAGUAAACGGCGGCCGUAACUAUAACGGUCCUAAGGUAGCGAAAUUCCUUGUCGGGUAAGUUCCGACCUGCACGAAUGGUGUAAUGAUCUGGACGCUGUCUCAACCGUGAGCUCAGUGAAAUUGUAGUAUCGGUGAAGAUGCCGAUUACCCGCGAUGGGACGAAAAGACCCCGUGAACCUUUACUAUAGCUUAUCAUUGAAUCUGGGCACGUGAUGUGUAGGAUAGGUCGGAGGCUUUGAAGCAGGUACGCCAGUAUUUGUGGAGCCGCUGUUGAAAUACGACCCUUUAUUUGUUUGGAUUCUAACCCGUGGAACGGGGACAUUGAUUGGUGGGUAGUUUGACUGGGGUGGUCGCCUCCAAAAGCGUAACGGAGGCUUCUAAAGGUGCCCUCCGGCCGAUUGGUAACCGGCCUUAGAGUGUAAUGGCAUAAGGGCGCUUGACUGGGAGACUAACAAGUCGAUCAGGUAGGAAACUAGAGCAUAGUGAUCCGGUGUUUCCGUAUGGAAGGGACAUCGCUCAAAGGAUAAAAGGUACUCCGGGGAUAACAGGCUGAUCCCUCCCAAGAGCUCAUAUCGACGGAGUGGUUUGGCACCUCGAUGUCGGCUCGUCACAUCCUGGGGCUGGAGAAGGUCCCAAGGGUUGGGCUGUUCGCCCAUUAAAGUGGCACGCGAGCUGGGUUCAGAACGUCGUGAGACAGUUCGGUCUCUAUCUAUCGUGGGCGUAUGAAAUUUGCGUGGCUCUGACACUAGUACGAGAGGACCGUGUUGGACAGACCUCUGGUUUGCCGGUUGUGCCGCCAGGUGCAUUGCCGGGUAUCUAAGUCUGGAUCGGAUAAGUGCUGAAAGCAUCUAAGUACGAAGCCGGCCACAAGAUUAGAUUUCUCAGGGUCGUUGUAGACUACGACGUUGAUAGGAUGCAGGUGUAAAGAUGGAGACAUCAAAGCCGAGCAUUACUAAUUGCCCGUUCACUUUCCUUA
This 2893-nucleotide ribosomal RNA is filed under the name Escherichia coli. RNAcentral describes it as "23S ribosomal RNA". It matches the Rfam family "Bacterial large subunit ribosomal RNA". Lineage: Bacteria; Pseudomonadati; Pseudomonadota; Gammaproteobacteria; Enterobacterales; Enterobacteriaceae. The record is from RNAcentral.